This 76-nucleotide transfer RNA is filed under the name Dysgonomonas sp. Its description in RNAcentral is "tRNA-Lys". It matches the Rfam family "tRNA". From Rfam's summary of the family: Transfer RNA (tRNA) molecules are approximately 80 nucleotides in length. The record is from RNAcentral. Lineage: Bacteria; Pseudomonadati; Bacteroidota; Bacteroidia; Bacteroidales; Dysgonomonadaceae.
GAUUCGCUAGCUCAGUAGGUAGAGCACAUCCCUUUUAAGGAUGGGGUCCUGGGUUCGAACCCCAGGCGGAUCACAA